This 240-nucleotide long non-coding RNA is filed under the name Sorghum bicolor (sorghum). RNAcentral's name for it is "long non-coding RNA (SBIC_LNC007981)". Lineage: Eukaryota; Viridiplantae; Streptophyta; Magnoliopsida; Poales; Poaceae. The record is from RNAcentral.
AAGGAUCAAGGAUAACCGUUCAAUCAAUGUCGGUUUGAUCCAACGACCCAUAUUCACUUGAAGGGACUAUAAAACCAGACCCCCUGGCCCUUGGAGAUCAUACCUCUUCUACAGAAUCAAAGUUAGGGUUUCAAUUCUUCAUCCAAGUAGAGAGGAUCCCUCUAGUUCUUCUAGUUCUAGUUUCUCUAGUUCUAGUUCUAGUUAGUUCUAGUUGUAAUCUAGAAAAUAGGGAGAGAGAAG